Molecule: ribosomal RNA, 314 nt
Filed under: uncultured Tomentella
Lineage: Eukaryota; Fungi; Basidiomycota; Agaricomycetes; Thelephorales; Thelephoraceae
Description: eukaryotic LSU rRNA
Source: RNAcentral
AACGCACCUUGCACCCUUUGGCUAUUCCGAAGGGUAUGCCUGUUUGAGUAUCAUGAACACCUCAACUCUCAUGGGUUCACCAUGAUGAGCUUGGACUUUGGAGGUUUUGCUGGCUUACGGUCGGCUCCUCUCAAACGAAUCAGCUUACCAGCGUCUGGUGGCUCACAGGUGUGAUAAAUAUCUACGCCUGUGGUCUUCUGCCAGGUAACCUUUAGCGAUGGAGGUUCGUUGGAGCUUACAGACGUUCUCCCUCAGCGAGAACAGCUCUUUGAACGUUUGAUCUCAAAUCAGGUAGGACUACCCGCUGAACUUAA